AUGGCAUCUGGAAACAAGGGUUGGGGGGACAGCAGCUCCAGGGCUCCAAGUGCUGAGGGUUUGACCGCCAGUGCCGGCCGCCUCGGAGUAGGCUUGGGGUCUGGGGUCCACAGGCCAGGGGAGGCUCUGCUCAGGCCCUGCUGUACUCCCACUCUGAGGACUGGGGUUCUAGGAAGAAGACCUUCAUCUGCGGGGGGAGGAAGGAGGUGCCUGCGUGAGCUGCAACCCCCGUGCCCACAGCUCUGCCCUCAGGCGUGCGCUCACACUCAUGGGCAUGCUUGCAUGUACACGCACACUCCCACCCCCAGGUACACCCCGUGCCCUCACAACACACCCCUUCCACACACCCCCAGCCCUCACCUUGGUUUUGAGCCUGCUGGAGGUCGAACCCACUUCGCACGGCACCCUAAGCAAGAGGUUCCCUUGGCUCGGAAACUCCAGGUUGUGUCCCUGAUGGAGACCACAUGCCCUGCCAUGCUGCCCUCCAGGGAGUCCUGGGGACAGCGAGGGUUUGCAGGGAGGGCAGGGCGGGUCUGGGGAACCUGGCUGUGCAUUCUUGACCACAGCCAGCUGGGCCCCUGGCGGGGACGGGCUCUCUGGGACCGGUGCUCCCCCAACCCUCUCCUGGAGCCCCGGCAGGUGCAGGACAGUAAGGCUGAGCUCAGCCUGGGGCGGCCCCACCCAAGACCCCCCACCCACACACACUGGGGUGCAGGGCCUCCUACCUCCCGGCGUUGCUGGGAACAGCGGCACCUGUACCAGGCGAACAUGACCGUAAGAACCAAGAGGAUGAAGACAGCAGUGACCACCACAGGCACAGGCCAGGACCCAGCGUCGGGGGUGGACUGGGGUUCUGCACCUGAAGGAGGCAGUUCAGCGGUGGACAGGUGGGUUGGGCAUCCCCCACCCCUAACCUCCUCCUCCUGCACACCCCCUGGGGUGAGAAUGAGCCCCGGAGGACUGCACCGCCCUUGCCCAGGAGGUACAGGAGUGGGAGGGAGCCAGGAGGAGAGGGGGCGCAGGACCACAGAGGUGGGAGGAGACCCAGGGCACGGGUGCCUCGGGGCAGCGAGGGAAACAUCUACCACUGGACGUGCGCUGGCCCCGUCCUUCAGGCCUUGGGGCUCUGGGGAAGAGAUGCAAGGGCAGGUGCGGGGUCUGCCCUGA
This 1167-nucleotide long non-coding RNA is filed under the name Papio anubis (olive baboon). RNAcentral describes it as "lncRNA (ENSPANG00000045473.1)". The record is from RNAcentral. Lineage: Eukaryota; Metazoa; Chordata; Mammalia; Primates; Cercopithecidae.